GGGUUGUGAGGUUAAGCGACUAAGCGUACACGGUGGAUGCCCUGGCAGUCAGAGGCGAUGAAGGGCGUGCUAAUCUGCGAUAAGCGCCGGUAAGGUGAUAUGAACCGUUAUAACCGGCGAUACCCGAAUGGGGAAACCCAGUGUGAUUCGUCACACUAUCAUUAACUGAAUCCAUAGGUUAAUGAGGCGAACCGGGGGAACUGAAACAUCUAAGUACCCCGAGGAAAAGAAAUCAACCGAGAUUCCCCCAGUAGCGGCGAGCGAACGGGGAGGAGCCCAGAGCCUGAAUCAGCAUGUGUGUUAGUGGAAGCGUCUGGAAAGGCGCGCGAUACAGGGUGACAGCCCCGUACACAAAAGCGCAUGUGCUGUGAGCUCGAUGAGUAGGGCGGGACACGUGGUAUCCUGUCUGAAUAUGGGGGGACCAUCCUCCAAGGCUAAAUACUCCUGACUGACCGAUAGUGAACCAGUACCGUGAGGGAAAGGCGAAAAGAACCCCGGUGAGGGGAGUGAAAAAGAACCUGAAACCGUGUACGUACAAGCAGUGGGAGCACCCUUCGGGGUGUGACUGCGUACCUUUUGUAUAAUGGGUCAGCGACUUAUAUUCUGUAGCAAGGUUAACCGUAUAGGGGAGCCGCAGGGAAACCGAGUCUUAAUUGGGCGUUAAGUUGCAGGGUAUAGACCCGAAACCCGGUGAUCUAGCCAUGGGCAGGUUGAAGGUUGGGUAACACUAACUGGAGGACCGAACCGACUAAUGUUGAAAAAUUAGCGGAUGACCUGUGGCUGGGGGUGAAAGGCCAAUCAAACCGGGAGAUAGCUGGUUCUCCCCGAAAGCUAUUUAGGUAGCGCCUCGUGAAUUCAUCUCCGGGGGUAGAGCACUGUUUCGGCUAGGGGGCCAUCCCGGCUUACCAACCCGAUGCAAACUGCGAAUACCGGAGAAUGUUAUCACGGGAGACACACGGCGGGUGCUAACGUCCGUCGUGAAGAGGGAAACAACCCAGACCGCCAGCUAAGGUCCCAAAGUCAUGGUUAAGUGGGAAACGAUGUGGGAAGGCCCAGACAGCCAGGAUGUUGGCUUAGAAGCAGCCAUCAUUUAAAGAAAGCGUAAUAGCUCACUGGUCGAGUCGGCCUGCGCGGAAGAUGUAACGGGGCUAAACCAUGCACCGAAGCUGCGGCAGCGACACUGUGUGUUGUUGGGUAGGGGAGCGUUCUGUAAGCCUGCGAAGGUGGCCUGUGAGGGUUGCUGGAGGUAUCAGAAGUGCGAAUGCUGACAUAAGUAACGAUAAAGCGGGUGAAAAGCCCGCUCGCCGGAAGACCAAGGGUUCCUGUCCAACGUUAAUCGGGGCAGGGUGAGUCGACCCCUAAGGCGAGGCCGAAAGGCGUAGUCGAUGGGAAACGGGUUAAUAUUCCCGUACUUGGUGUUACUGCGAAGGGGGGACGGAGAAGGCUAUGUUGGCCGGGCGACGGUUGUCCCGGUUUAAGCGUGUAGGUGUGUGUUCCAGGUAAAUCCGGUUCACUUUAACACUGAGGCGUGACGACGAGGCACUACGGUGCUGAAGCAACAAAUGCCCUGCUUCCAGGAAAAGCCUCUAAGCAUCAGGUAACACGAAAUCGUACCCCAAACCGACACAGGUGGUCAGGUAGAGAAUACCAAGGCGCUUGAGAGAACUCGGGUGAAGGAACUAGGCAAAAUGGUGCCGUAACUUCGGGAGAAGGCACGCUGACACGUAGGUGAAGUGAUUUACUCAUGGAGCUGAAGUCAGUCGAAGAUACCAGCUGGCUGCAACUGUUUAUUAAAAACACAGCACUGUGCAAACACGAAAGUGGACGUAUACGGUGUGACGCCUGCCCGGUGCCGGAAGGUUAAUUGAUGGGGUCAGCGCAAGCGAAGCUCCUGAUCGAAGCCCCGGUAAACGGCGGCCGUAACUAUAACGGUCCUAAGGUAGCGAAAUUCCUUGUCGGGUAAGUUCCGACCUGCACGAAUGGCGUAAUGAUGGCCAGGCUGUCUCCACCCGAGACUCAGUGAAAUUGAACUCGCUGUGAAGAUGCAGUGUACCCGCGGCAAGACGGAAAGACCCCGUGAACCUUUACUAUAGCUUGACACUGAACAUUGAGCCUUGAUGUGUAGGAUAGGUGGGAGGCUUUGAAGUGUGGACGCCAGUCUGCAUGGAGCCGACCUUGAAAUACCACCCUUUAAUGUUUGAUGUUCUAACGUGGACCCGUAAUCCGGGUUGCGGACAGUGUCUGGUGGGUAGUUUGACUGGGGCGGUCUCCUCCUAAAGAGUAACGGAGGAGCACGAAGGUUGGCUAAUCCUGGUCGGACAUCAGGAGGUUAGUGCAAUGGCAUAAGCCAGCUUGACUGCGAGCGUGACGGCGCGAGCAGGUGCGAAAGCAGGUCAUAGUGAUCCGGUGGUUCUGAAUGGAAGGGCCAUCGCUCAACGGAUAAAAGGUACUCCGGGGAUAACAGGCUGAUACCGCCCAAGAGUUCAUAUCGACGGCGGUGUUUGGCACCUCGAUGUCGGCUCAUCACAUCCUGGGGCUGAAGUAGGUCCCAAGGGUAUGGCUGUUCGCCAUUUAAAGUGGUACGCGAGCUGGGUUUAGAACGUCGUGAGACAGUUCGGUCCCUAUCUGCCGUGGGCGCUGGAGAACUGAGGGGGGCUGCUCCUAGUACGAGAGGACCGGAGUGGACGCAUCACUGGUGUUCGGGUUGUCAUGCCAAUGGCACUGCCCGGUAGCUAAAUGCGGAAGAGAUAAGUGCUGAAAGCAUCUAAGCACGAAACUUGCCCCGAGAUGAGUUCUCCCUGAGACUUAGAGUCUCCUGAAGGAACGUUGAAGACGACGACGUUGAUAGGCCGGGUGUGUAAGCGCAGCGAUGCGUUGAGCUAACCGGUACUAAUGAACCGUGAGGCUUAACCUUACAACGCCGAAG
This 2926-nucleotide ribosomal RNA is filed under the name Salmonella enterica. RNAcentral describes it as "23S ribosomal RNA". It matches the Rfam family "Bacterial large subunit ribosomal RNA". The record is from RNAcentral. Lineage: Bacteria; Pseudomonadati; Pseudomonadota; Gammaproteobacteria; Enterobacterales; Enterobacteriaceae.